UGGAGAACCGUGGAGCCCAGCAGAGAGUGUGGCUCCCGGAAGCCGGGGAGCACCAGGGGACACAUCCUCCACUAGAGCUUCCAGAGGGAGCACAGCCCUGGCGACGCCCUGAUCUUACCCUGCUGAGACCCACGCUGGACUUCUGAACGACAGAAUUGUUUUCAACCUGCAGCCUUUCUCGAGGUCUCGGAGGUUGGCUGCCUGCUGCGGAAAAUUGUGCUUCCCACACCAGCAGUUUGGAGUCCAAGUGGGCUGAGCAGGGGCAGCUGCUCCCUCUUGUCAUCAUGUAGUAAAACAGGGAGCGGCUCGUGUAUUUAUAACUCUCCGGGCCUGCUCGUCAGCAUCUUCCAAAGGACUCGGAGCUGUCUGCGCCCUGCACUACGGGGAGUUGCAUCAAGCAAACGCAUUAAGGAGCAGCAGCAGGAGACAAAGAAACUUCAGCACAGCCUGGCUUCUCUCUCUGCAUGAUCAGUUGUUCCAGCUUUGCACGUGCUUCCUAAAGCAGUGGUUCCUGAGCUGCUCUGUGAGUCAGAAUCAGCUGGGGAACUUGGACAAAAUGCUGACGCUCAGGCCCCACCUGCCCCUGAUCCUGGUUCAGGUGGUCUGGAAACUGGAAGACGAUCCUGCAAGGUGGAGAAGUGGGUACGAGCUCAGCUCUAACGAUAAAGAAACCAAUUUUUAAAUACGGAACAAAGAUAAGAACAGGCACUUCACAGCAGAAGGAAAUCCAAAUGGCCAAUCAAUAGCCGCCGAAUUCCCUGAAGACGUCACCGGCUUUGGAUUCAGAGUUGCACACCGAGUUCAGCUCCUUCCCUCGUCAGCUGUGUGGCCUUGAACAAGAACCAUCACUCCUCUGUGCCCAUCGACUAGUGACUGGAUAAACAGACAGUAUAUCUCCACACCGUGGCCUACCACUCGGCAAUAAGAGGGAGCAAACGCAUCACCCACCCCUGACCCUAAACCCUGACCACUUGGAUGCAUCUUGAAACCCUCGUGCUAAGGGGAAAAAAGUCAAACACAAAAGGUGCUGUACUGUAUGAGUCCAUUCAUAUGAAAUUCCAGAAAAAGAAAAACUGUGUUGACAGAAAGCAGAUUGGUAGUUGCCGGGGCCAGGGGUGGGGAGAGAGAGGAGGAAACCUUUUGGGCGAGGUUUUAUAUCUGUAUUGUGGUGGUAGUUAUGCGAUUGUUAACCAAAAUUCAUCCAGUAGUACACUUAAAAUCAGUGAUUUUUACUGUCUAUAAAUGAUACCUUAAUAAAAUGAUACCUUAAUAAACUGAAAAAGAGGCUGACAGUAGCAUAAUGUGACCCCGAGUGACUCAGGGCUAGUUUAGCCGGGGUGGCCCUGGAAGGCCGCUCUGAGGAGGUGCCAUUUGGUGCCAACUCUAGGAAC
Molecule: long non-coding RNA, 1391 nt
Organism: Lemur catta (Ring-tailed lemur)
Lineage: Eukaryota; Metazoa; Chordata; Mammalia; Primates; Lemuridae
Exons: 5
Source: RefSeq, a predicted model, not a curated record